RNAcentral lists this transfer RNA (72 nucleotides) under Blattella germanica (German cockroach). RNAcentral describes it as "tRNA-Gln (CTG) (tRNA-Gln-CTG-18-1)". It matches the Rfam family "tRNA". From Rfam's summary of the family: Transfer RNA (tRNA) molecules are approximately 80 nucleotides in length. The record is from RNAcentral. Lineage: Eukaryota; Metazoa; Arthropoda; Insecta; Blattodea; Blattellidae.
GGUUUCAUGGUGUAAUGGUGAACACUCUGGACUCUGAAUCCAGUGAUCCGAGUUCAAAUCUCGGUGGAACCU